UACAGAGGGUGCGAGCGUUAAUCGGAAUUACUGGGCGUAAAGCGCGUGUAGGCGGCCAUACAGGUCCGUUGUGAAAACUCGAGGCUUAACCUCGAGACGUCGAUGGAAACCGUAUGGCUAGAGUCCGGAAGAGGAGAGUGGAAUUCCUGGUGUAGCGGUGAAAUGCGCAGAUAUCAGGAAGAACACCCGUGGCGAAGGCGGCUCUCUGGGACGGUACUGACGCUGAGACGCGAAAGCGUGGGGAGCGAACAGG
RNAcentral lists this ribosomal RNA (253 nucleotides) under uncultured bacterium. Its description in RNAcentral is "partial 16S ribosomal RNA". It matches the Rfam family "Bacterial small subunit ribosomal RNA", at positions 524 to 776 of the family's 1533-position model. The record is from RNAcentral.